This 75-nucleotide transfer RNA is filed under the name Candidatus Nanopelagicales bacterium. RNAcentral's name for it is "tRNA-Arg". It matches the Rfam family "tRNA". Rfam says of the family: Transfer RNA (tRNA) molecules are approximately 80 nucleotides in length. Their secondary structure includes four short double-helical elements and three loops (D, anti-codon, and T loops). The record is from RNAcentral. Lineage: Bacteria; Bacillati; Actinomycetota; Actinomycetes; Candidatus Nanopelagicales. RNAcentral also lists the same sequence under 4 other names.
GCCCCCGUAGCUCAGGGGAUAGAGCGGUGCCCUCCGGAGGCAUGCGCGCAGGUUCGAAUCCUGCCGGGGGCACCA